Drosophila albomicans is the source of this 1409-nucleotide long non-coding RNA. RefSeq lists it as uncharacterized. The transcript has 3 exons. The record is from RefSeq and is a predicted model, not a curated record. NCBI's taxonomy places the organism in Eukaryota, Metazoa, Arthropoda, Insecta, Diptera, Drosophilidae.
UGUGCUUGAGUCUUGCUUGUUGGUUAAAUCAAAAAGUGAAUACAUAAUUAAAAUAAAUAAAUUUCAACUUUUACAAUGGAAGAAAGAAAGAACAGAGCUCCUUUAAAACGAAAAGUCAUUUCAAUAGAAACAAAAAUACAAAUUCUAAACCGCUUAGAUAAUGGGCAAACUGCUACGGAAAUAGCAAGAAGCCUUGAUUUAAAUGAGGCUACAGUUCGCACUAUCAAAAAGAAUGAAACUAAAAUACGACAUGCAGGAAGCAUUGGGUCAUCUAUAUCUACAAAAUUUACCAGUAGAGCACGUGCACCAAUUUUGGAGAAAAUAGAAAGAGCACUUAGCAUUUGGAUCGAAAAAAGAUCCCUUUAAUCGAACGGAUCUUUAAGGAAACGGCACUCAGGAUUGGACUGCGCGAGCAAAAUGAAGAGCCCUCUUCCAGCAUAGAUUCGUUGCUAGUAAUGGAUAAUUCGCGAAAUUUAAAAAAAGGUUCUCCAUUCAUAGCCUCAAAUUUAAGGGCGAAGCGGCGUCGGCUGAUGAUGAAGCUGCUACCACAUACCCAGAAGAAAUUCAGGGGUUCAUUAAUGAAGAGGAAUUCCUGCCCGAUUAAGUUUUCAAUGCUGAUGAAACUGGACUUUGCUGGAAAAAAAUGUCAAAUCGAACUUUUAUAUCAAGGAAUGUGAAAGUAGCCCCCGGCUUUAAGGCACAAAAAGAUCGGUUUACACUUUUGCUGUGUAGUAAUGCAUCAGGCGACUUUCAAGUAAGGCCAAUGCUUGUUUAUAAAUCGUUCAAUCCCCGUGCGUUUAAAGGGAUAGACAAGAGAAAAUUACUCGUUUACUGGAAAGCAAGUUACAAAGCUUGGGUAACUGCAGAAUUAUUUAAGGACUGGUUCUUGAAUGAUUUUGUACCUGAGGUUGAAAAAUAUUUAAAAAACAGUCUCUGAGAUCCAGUGUUUCAUACGGACGGUGCUGGUGUAAGGUUGAUUAGCGUGGCGUACGCGCUGGCUUCUCCGGGCUUUGCUCAGUUAGAAUGGGGUUCAAGAAAACGGCCAACUAAUAAGACGCAUCACUUAUAAUAAUAAUACAUUAAGAAUUCGCCUACAUAUGGGAAGACAGAGAAGAAGGAGUGUAAUGGGAAGGUUGUAUUAAACAAUAGUGAAAGAGAAGGGGAAGGAGAGGAAGACGCCCACCCUACCGUGAUCCUGCAUUCUAAUGCCAAAAAUAACUGUUGGCAGGAUCCCUAAAAGGAAGUGGUUCUGCUAACCUACUCCUGCUUGGUGAUGCAUGGUUCCAAAUAAAAUUAUGCAAUUAAGCGAACAUACUUAAUUUAUUAACAUACAACAAAAGGGAUUUGAAGUUUAACAACAUUACAAACGAAAUGACAAACAAAAAUAAAUAAAUAAAUAAUUUAACGGA